GGCAGUCGGCGGGACGCUUAUCGUAAGGCGCGGCAGACGGAGGGCCGCUCUUGGGCAGUUUGUAUCCAUGCGAAAUGAGGAGGUCCUCCACGCUGUACAUGGCGGCGUCGCUCUCACUCCAGGGCGGGAGGGCAAAGCCAUUCCAGACAGGAGAAGAUAUCCAGGCCUGGAGGGCUGCACGCACAGGCCUCUGUUUCUGAUUGAUCGGUGGUGACGCUUCCGUUCAACUCGCCCAAAGCCGAUUGCUCCUGGAUGUCCGUCAUCUCCCCAACGGUGAAGAUGGGCUCCCCCACCUUGCUGUGGGCCGAGCCGCCGUCCGGCUGCUUGGUGGCUUGUUCGGCCAGCGUGGGCUCUUCGUCCAGCCUGCUGGAGAUGGACCAGUAGAGAUGCUACCUCAAACGUGUGAUGAAAGGCUCCGUAGUCGAUGUCAAAGAAGCCCUCUGCCAGCAACAUCAUGGGGCUGAACCUGUGACCCCACAACACCUCCUCCGCCAGAAUGACCACAAUCUCGAAAUCCUCCUUCUCCAGCUGGGCCUGCGACAUGUCCCAGAAGGGCGAGCGCGCGUCAAUUUCAUGGGAGAUCACCAGCGGAGAGACGAGGAAGAGGCGGUCAUCGCCCGUCUCAAAGCC
Molecule: long non-coding RNA, 630 nt
Organism: Xiphophorus couchianus (Monterrey platyfish)
Lineage: Eukaryota; Metazoa; Chordata; Actinopteri; Cyprinodontiformes; Poeciliidae
Exons: 5
Source: RefSeq, a predicted model, not a curated record